GGAAUAUUGCACAAUGGGCGAAAGCCUGAUGCAGCGACGCCGCGUGCGGGAUGACGGCCUUCGGGUUGUAACCGCUUUCAGGAGGGACGAAACUGACGGUACCUCCAGAAGAAGCCCCGGCCAACUACGUGCCAGCAGCCGCGGUAACACGUAGGGGGCGAGCGUUGUCCGGAUUUAUUGGGCGUAAAGGGCUCGUAGGUGGUUCAGCAAGUCAACUGUGAAAGUCCGGGGCUCAACCCCGGAACGCCAGUCGAAACUGCUGUGACUAGGGUCCGGUAGAGGUGAGUGGAAUUCUCGGUGUAGCGGUGAAAUGCGCAGAUAUCGAGAGGAACACCAGUAGCGAAGGCGGCUCACUGGGCCGGUACCGACACUGAGGAGCGAAAGCGUGGGGAGGCAAACAGGAUUAGAUACCCUGGUAGUCCACGCCGUAAACGUUGAACACUAGUGUGGCGGACUUAUCCACGUCUGCCGUGCCGCAGCUAACGCAUUAAGUGUUCCGCCUGGGGAGUA
This 510-nucleotide ribosomal RNA is filed under the name uncultured Actinomycetes bacterium. RNAcentral's name for it is "bacterial SSU rRNA". It matches the Rfam family "Bacterial small subunit ribosomal RNA", at positions 358 to 882 of the family's 1533-position model. Lineage: Bacteria; Bacillati; Actinomycetota; Actinomycetes. The record is from RNAcentral.